AUUGCUCUGCAGCUGAACCAGCCCCUCGCAGCGCUGCAGGAAUGCGACUGUGUGAUCCGGAGGAUGUGCUCGGCUCGGGGGGAUCAGCUUACAGGCAUGUGAGCGACCGGCCGGCCUUCUCGUCGACGCUGAAAACUCGUCCAAAGGAAAACAAAAGUGAAAUCCAAGCAGGAACGGCGGGGGUGAAGAAGGAAUGUGUCUUUAUCAUUAAACCAGAAGACGGAGUGGAGCGAGGAAACGCAGCGCUGGAGGUCGGAGGUCGAGUCCUUGUUAUGGACGCUCCAUUAAAGUCUGCGAUUCAGGGAGACACAGCUGUCCCAUUUCUGGCCCAGUUUCAACAUUCCUUUGCCGUUCAAGUGUUCAAAACAUCCAGAUCUGUGUACAGUGAAGAGUGUUCGUGUACUUCUAUCGCUGUGUGAUAUGCGGUAUGUCCAUAAACUGCAUUAUGCACAUGUUUACUGGCCGUUUUCUGCUGCCUACACAUGCUAACAGUCAUGCUAUGUGGGCCAGAGCGUGUUUGACGUCCAGCGAUAUCAGAAAGUUCUGUGUGGGAGCAAGAAUGAACACAUAAAGGCGACCCGAGAUAACAAACCUCUGAAUAGCCCAGACUGGCCGAGACACAAAAAAGCAUGUUUGCUCUCCGAAUGCUUGUCUUCGCUUGACGUACUUUGUUGGUGUCCAGAAGACCGAGGCGCCAGAAACUAAGUCCAAAGGAAACUAAGUGGGAGAUAAUCGCCAACGCAGGGCAACCUGGAGCGAGUAAAAUUAAAACUACACAUCACUUCUGAGAAAAAAACACAGAAAAACACAGUCAGACAAAAGAAAAAUAACCUUAGCAGCCAUAACUGGAUGCUAGGCCUGUCAGGGUUGGGAUGUUUCUGCUUUAAACUCCUAAAAACCCUUCUAUUAAAGAAUCCUAGAUGUGCAGAUCUAUGAAGUGUUCCUUCAGCUCUCCUACAGCUCUCCUCAAACACUAUAAAACAACUCCAGCUACACCAUGACAAGAUGUAAUAUUGAAAUAAUCCAACAAGACAUCAUUAAAACAAUGCCUAAAGAAGAACAAAAAUGCAGUUGACCCAAUUGGUUCUUUUGAUUUGUGAGAUAUGAAACCUCUACCAAUCUGAACCUGUGUUUCAUUUUUCUCAUGUUGUGUCUCCCAGCAUUUUAAAAACACCAUACAGACAAAGUCAAACAUGGUUCCAGUAGUGUUUCCUCUUGUCUUAUACAAGCAGGAUCUCAAAGCAGUCUUAAUAUUUCCUUUUUUGCAGAUGAUGUGGUUCUGUUUGUUUCAUCAGACCGUGAUCUUCAGCAUACACUGAGACAGGAUGAGAGUCAUCAACUCCAAAUCUGAGGCCACGGUUCUCUUAUGGAAACUAGUGGAUUGUUCCCUCAGGACUGGAGUUGAGUUCCUGUCCCAAACAAUAAAGUUUCGUCAUCUUCUUAAGGCAUUGUGUUGACAAGAGAUGAGAAAAAGGAGAGCGAGACAAAGAAAUCGAUUGGUGGAGCAUCAGUGGUAAUGGCAUUGUGCUGGCCCUCAUCUAAGAUCAUGAGCGAGCAUCAAGUCUACAGAAACUUGAGCAAAAACUGAACCAGCAACUGUCAGAUAUGUAGUUAUGCUAGCAUGCUAACAUUAGCAUAACACUUUAUAAUGUAAACUGAUUGACUUCAGCAUGGUUACCAUUCUACAUAUACAGGGCAAUGAACAUAAUAGUACUAGAACUACAGUAUGCAAACCAGCAUCUGGAUUGAGCUGCUAUCUUUAGCUUAUGCAGCUAAUUAGCUUAGCUACAGUUAGAACUGCUGGUGUUGUUUCAAAGGCUAAAGACUGUUUCAUUCAUCAGCUACAUCAUUUACGGUGCAAUUUCUCCUGCAUGUGAACAGAUAAUUACAAGUCUAUGGAAAAUAUUCUUACAGAUUUCUUGAGCUGUUGCAUAAUAUUAAGAAACCCUAAAUUUGGUAUUAAUAAAGUUGACCUACAUUAGUAAGAAAAACUUGCAUGAAUAAACUGCAGGUUCUGGUUAGUUGUCAUACGUUUUGAGUUAAAAUUCAUCAUAUGAUAAUAAUAUUAUACACAGUAUGUACACCAGUGGAGGAUUGAAUAGGGAAAAGUUUGAAAGUCCAGUUUGAAUUUGUAUAGAAUUACCAAAGUACUACGUAGUUCUGGUAGCAUGCUCGCAUAAUUUCAACAUGACUGCCAUGCUACCUGUAUGGGACAGUUAACAAUAGUAGUACUAGAACUGUAGUUUAAAGACCAGUACCUGGCUUGAGAAGCUAACUUUUGCUUGCAUAGCUCAUUAGCUUAGCUACAGUUAGACCUCCAGUGUUGUUUCAAAGGCUAAAGGCCGUUUCAUUCAUCAGCUACAUCAUUUAUAGUGCAAUUUCUCCUGCAUGUCAACAGAUAAUUACAAGUGUGUGGAAAAUAUUCUUACAGAUUUCUUUAGCUGUUGCAUAAUAUGAAAAAACAUACGAAACCCUAUAAACCGUAUUAAUAAAGUUGACCUACAUUAGAAAGAAAAAUUCUUUUCCAUUGAACAACAUAUUGAAAAAACAUCUCAAAGAAGAAACUGCAGGUUCUGGUUUGUUGUCAUUAUUUUUGGUCAAAAAUAGGAGCUUGCAUUUGUAUAUAAUUACCAAACUACAAAGUAAAGUGAUGUACUUGCAGGGAGACAGUGAUGAUUUCAUUAGUUAACAAAGGCAUUUUGCUGGUUACGGCUUUUGGUUUUUACAUGGUUCUUGUGCAGAAGCUUUUCUAAGCGAACAGCAGCAUCCUGACGAUGCAGAACAUUAACGCAGAAACCAAAUAUCUGAGUGCAGACAAACAGUUCAGAGGAGAAGAGCAGAUUUCUGUCCGACUGGGGGAUGUUGGAGGGUUUCGAGGGAAACAUUACAACAUGUGAAAUGAAGAAAUAAGAUCUCUGCAAUUGAAAGACCAUGUUUCUGAUUUACAGACAGAAAAGCCACUCAGCGCUGUCCUUUGAGUAUUUAUUCUGAGUUUGCUUUCUGCUUGUUGCUCGGUGAUUCUUUUGACUUCUGCUAUUGGACGUUUGCCUGUUUUUUUCAUGGAUUCUGCAGCAGCAUGUUGUUUAUUCCCCCGUUAGCCUCUGUUAGUUACAUCAGGAAGUUUCAAUAAAGUUCAUCCUAAUUCUGUUAAA
Molecule: long non-coding RNA, 3152 nt
Organism: Acanthochromis polyacanthus (spiny chromis)
Lineage: Eukaryota; Metazoa; Chordata; Actinopteri; Pomacentridae
Exons: 2
Source: RefSeq, a predicted model, not a curated record